UGCUUGUCUCCUUUCUGAUCUUGGCUCUCAGCUUCAUGAGAGUUGUGAGAGAGGAGCUGGUGGUCACUGUUUGCUUCUGAUACCACAGAGGUUAUAACUGGCAUGUUGGCUACAGACUCUUUCUCUGCUGCACUUAGAGAGUCAUCAUCAGGAUUGAAGUUCAGAGUCUGACCUUCACUGUGGUCACUUUCCUCAUAAGUAGGAGUCAACA
Long non-coding RNA from Sander lucioperca (pikeperch), 211 nucleotides. RefSeq lists it as uncharacterized. The record is from RefSeq and is a predicted model, not a curated record. The transcript is spliced from 2 exons. NCBI's taxonomy places the organism in Eukaryota, Metazoa, Chordata, Actinopteri, Perciformes, Percidae.